GAGUUGAUCUAGAGUAUUUGAAGUAUCUAGAAAAUAAAUUUUGUGAUUUUUUGAUAUCAUUUGCCUAGUGAUCGAAUGGGCUCAAAAUCAAUAAUUUUAACGGCCGUGGUGAGCCGUUUGCAAAUUUAACGGUGUAGAAAUAUCCAAAUCACAUGAAAUUUUGAUAGAAAAUUCUUUAUACCGUAUAAAACAAGAUCAAUAACUUUGAUCUAAAAUUUUAAUGUCAUAUCAUCAUAUUUUGUAAGAUUUUUAUUUUCAGCCGUUGAUUUUGAGCCACUUCGAUCACUAGGCAAAUGAUAUCGAAAAAUCACAAAAUUUAUUUUUGAGAUACUUCAAAUACUCUAGAUCAAGUCUAACGGAGGCGAUCAUCGAUUCGAAAGUCCAAAUAUCGAAAACAACUUGGAAGCACGGAGCGCUCCGUGCUUCCAGAAGCAUACCAGACGCACUCUAUAUAAGUAUUUGAAAACUAAAUUUCAUAAUUUUUUGACAUCAUUUGGCUAGUGAUCAAAAGGUCUCAAAAUUGACAAUUUUAAUGGUGGAUGUAAUGCGUUUGUGAAUUUAAUGAUGUAAAACAAUUUAAAUCUAAUGAAAUUUUUAUAGAAAUUUGUUUUCACUAUUUAGAGUAAGAUCAAUACCUCUGAUCUUAAAUUCAAAUCGUUUAUCAUCAUUUUUUAUGAGAUUUUUAUUUUCAGCCGUUCAUUUUAGAUUACUCGUUUGAUAGGUAAAUGAUGUCAAAAAAUUAUAAAAUUUAAUUUUCAAAUACUUUCAAUGAUAUAGAUCAAGUUUAACGAAGCUGAUCGUUGAUUUGGAAGCUAUAUCAUUGAAAAAACUUGGUAGCACGAAGGGCUCGAUGCUAUCGAUAGUAUACUAGCCUAGCUAU
Molecule: long non-coding RNA, 880 nt
Filed under: Ananas comosus (pineapple)
Lineage: Eukaryota; Viridiplantae; Streptophyta; Magnoliopsida; Poales; Bromeliaceae
Description: long non-coding RNA (ACOM_LNC019118)
Source: RNAcentral